This is a non-coding RNA of Triticum aestivum (bread wheat), 126 nucleotides long. The record is from Rfam. NCBI's taxonomy places the organism in Eukaryota, Viridiplantae, Streptophyta, Magnoliopsida, Poales, Poaceae.
AUGCUACUCCCUCCGUCCGAAAAAGCUUGUCCCUCAAAUGAAUGUAUUUAGUCCCAAGUUAGUGCUAGAUACAUCCAUUUGAGACACAAGGUUGGGACAAGUUUUUUCGGACGGAGGAAGUACCAU